UACAGAGGUCCCAAGCGUUGUUCGGAUUCACUGGGCGUAAAGGGUGCGUAGGUGGUGGGGUAAGUCGGAUGUGAAAUCUCCGGGCUCAACCCGGAAAUGGCAUUGGAAACUACCUUGCUGGAGGAUUUGAGGGGGGAUUGGGAUACUUGGUGUAGCAGUGAAAUGCGUAGAUAUCAAGUGGAACACCAGUGGCGAAGGCGAAUCCCUGGAAAAUACCUGACACUGAGGCACGAAAGCUAGGGGAGCAAACAGG
Molecule: ribosomal RNA, 253 nt
Filed under: uncultured bacterium
Lineage: Bacteria
Description: partial 16S ribosomal RNA
Rfam family: Bacterial small subunit ribosomal RNA
Source: RNAcentral